RNAcentral lists this ribosomal RNA (774 nucleotides) under uncultured Neocallimastigales. RNAcentral describes it as "partial large subunit ribosomal RNA". It matches the Rfam family "Eukaryotic large subunit ribosomal RNA", at positions 22 to 640 of the family's 3401-position model. Lineage: Eukaryota; Fungi; Neocallimastigomycota; Neocallimastigomycetes; Neocallimastigales. The record is from RNAcentral.
CAUAGCGACUAUCGUGGCAUAUCAAUAAGCGGAGGAAAAGAAACUAACAAGGAUUCCCUUAGUAACGGCGAGUGAAGCGGGAAGAGCUCAAAUUUGAAAUCUUCAAGGUUUUACCUUGACGAAUUGUAGUUUAAAGAAGUGUUUUCUGUUGAAGUUUUGGUAAAAGUUCUUUGGAAUAGGACAUCAUAGAGGGUGAGAAUCCCGUAUUUGACCAUUACUUUCCAGCUGUGUGAUACACUUUCAAAGAGUCGGAUUGUUUGGGAAUGCAGUCCAAAAUGGGUGGUAAAUUUCAUCUAAAGCUAAAUAUUGGCGAGAGACCGAUAGCGAACAAGUACCGUGAGGGAAAGAUGAAAAGAACUUUGAAAAGAGAGUUAAACAGUACGUGAAAUUGUCAAAAGGGAAGCGUUUGACACCAGUGUUGUUUAGUUGAAAAUCAAUUCAAUAAUUUUUGAUUUUGAGUAGUAUUGACUUCAUCAGCUUGCUGCUUUCUUUUCGGAAAUUAUUGAAUGCACUUUUCAGUUAACAAGUCAACAUCAAUUUCUUUUGUUGUAAAAGGGUAAGAGGAAGGUGGCUUACGCUUCGGCGUAAGUGUCUAUAGCCUUUUACCUCUGCAAUCGGAGAGAUUGAGGACAGCAGCGUAGACUCUUCGGGGUUAGAUACACUUGUGCUAAGCUAUAGCCUUGUAUAGACAACUUGUUGACUAUGCUCAGUCAUGUAGCUUACUCGCUUGUGCUAUUUUACCUACGCUUAGGAUGUUGACGCGCGUGUGUGCGU